UAAGAUGGUUUAGGGUAUGAGUGAAUAUCACUGUGAGAACAGGUCUAGCACAAUCCCAGUAAAGCAGGUAGAGUCACUGGAAGACCGGCUGGGCAAGGAGCCACAUUCCCUCUAAGAGGUGCAGGCUUGCAUUUCUCUCUGUCCCCCUAGAUGAGGGCAUUAUGGUCUUAGAGUUUUUCUGAGACCCAGGCCCUCACCCUCAGGCAGGAAACUAGCUGGGCUCAGUUUUCUCCUCUACAGGACUGGGUGGUGAUUCCCUUGCCUGGGGCUGGUUUCUGUCCUGUCUUUCCACAGUGGCAAGCUGUUGCUCUGUGCCAGGCCUUGGCCACACUGAGCCUCCUAUUCCCUUUCCCCAGGUGGAGUUGUGCUCAUAUCUGGAACAGGCUCCAACUGCAGGCUCAUCAACCCUGAUGGCUCCGAGAGUGGCUGCGGCGGCUGGGGCCAUAUGAUGGGUGAUGAGGGUUCAGCCUACUGGAUCGCACACCAAGCAGUGAAAAUAGUGUUUGACUCCAUUGACAACCUAGAGGCGGCUCCUCAUGAUAUCGGCUACGUCAAACAGGCCAUGUUCCACUAUUUCCAGGUGCCAGAUCGGCUAGGGAUACUCACUCACCUGUAUAGGGACUUUGAUAAAUGCAGGUUUGCUGGGUUUUGCCGGAAAAUUGCAGAAGGUACUGGAG
Molecule: small RNA, 677 nt
Filed under: Pongo abelii (Sumatran orangutan)
Lineage: Eukaryota; Metazoa; Chordata; Mammalia; Primates; Hominidae
Description: retained intron
Source: RNAcentral